UGGACAGUCGACUUCAAUGGACAAUUUUACAUGUUCGGAGUAUCUUGAUCAAGAUACUAUGCCUAAGGGUGAUGACGUUGCAUCACAAGCUGAUAUUCUGUCUAAUCAGGGUUGUGCAGCUGAAAACGUUGUUCAACUUAAUGUCUCCUUACAAAAUGAUCUGAAUGCUCCUAGUGACAGUAAAUUGACAUUGGGUCAGGAAGCUUGUUCUUCA
This 214-nucleotide unclassified non-coding RNA is filed under the name Hevea brasiliensis (rubber tree). The record is from RNAcentral. Lineage: Eukaryota; Viridiplantae; Streptophyta; Magnoliopsida; Malpighiales; Euphorbiaceae.